RNAcentral lists this transfer RNA (75 nucleotides) under Hyphomonadaceae bacterium. RNAcentral's name for it is "tRNA-Gly". It matches the Rfam family "tRNA". Rfam says of the family: Transfer RNA (tRNA) molecules are approximately 80 nucleotides in length. RNAcentral also lists the same sequence under 1 other name. The record is from RNAcentral. Lineage: Bacteria; Pseudomonadati; Pseudomonadota; Alphaproteobacteria; Hyphomonadales; Hyphomonadaceae.
GCGGGCGUAGCUCAGGGGUAGAGCACGACCUUGCCAAGGUCGGGGUCGUGAGUUCGAAUCUCAUCGCCCGCUCCA